AAUAGAUACCCUGGUAGUCCACGCCGUAAACGAUGAGUGCUAAGUGUUAGAGGGUUUCCGCCCUUUAGUGCUGCAGCUAACGCAUUAAGCACUCCGCCCGGGGAGUACGGCCGCAAGGCUGAAACUCAAAGGAAUUGACGGGGGCCCGCACAAGCGGUGGAGCAUGUGGUUUAAUUCGAAGCAACGCGAAGAACCUUACCAGGUCUUGACAUCCUCUGACACUCCUAGAGAUAGGACUUUCCCCUUCGGGGGACAGAGUGACAGGUGGUGCAUGGUUGUCGUCAGCUCGUGUCGUGAGAUGUUGGGUUAAGUCCCGCAACGAGCGCAACCCUUGAUCUUAGUUGCCAGCAUUCAGUUGGGCACUCUAAGGUGACUGCCGGUGACAAACCGGAGGAAGGUGGGGAUGACGUCAAAUCAUCAUGCCCCUUAUGACCUGGGCUACACACGUGCUACAAUGGAUGGUACAAAGGGCAGCGAAGCCGCGAGGUGGAGCCAAUCCCAUAAAACCAUUCUCAGUUCGGAUUGCG
RNAcentral lists this ribosomal RNA (527 nucleotides) under uncultured bacterium. Its description in RNAcentral is "bacterial SSU rRNA". It matches the Rfam family "Bacterial small subunit ribosomal RNA", at positions 777 to 1302 of the family's 1533-position model. The record is from RNAcentral.